CAUUGUGGGCUACACCCCGGUGCUGGGAGGCGUGUUAGGGGCAGUAUUGGGUGUUACACUGUCUACAGCGCGGGAAGGUUGGGUGCUUUAUCGGGCGUCAUUUCCCGCAGCCGCGGGGUGGCUUGUUGGGGGCGCUAUCCGUGGCUGCACUGGUCGCGCGGGGUUACGGGUUGGGGGCGCUAUCUGGGACAUCAGUGCCCAUGGCGGGGAACUUGUUGGCUAUGAUAUCCGAGGCGUCACUGCCCUUGGCUGGGGGCUGGUUGGGGGCUCUAUCUGUGGGCUACACUGCCCACAGCCAGGAGCGGGUUGGGUGCUAUCGCGGGGCCGCGCUGCCUGGCAGGGAGUGGGUUGGGUGCGCUAUUUGGGGUUGGACUGCUGGCGGUGGUUGACUCGGUGGGGGGUGAGGGGCAGGGGGGAUGGGUUGAAUGCAUUAUCGGGAUCUACACUGCCCGAGGCCAGGGGGAGAUGGGGGCGCCAUUGUUGGCUACACCGCCUGUAGUGGGGGGCGUGUAAGGAGCAGUAGUGUGUGUUGCAUUGCUCACGGCGGGGGAGGGUUGAGUGCGUUAUCCCGGGCGUCAUUUCCCGCAGCGGCGGGGACAGUGGAGGGGCUUGUUGGGGGCGCUAUCCAUGGCUGCACUGGUCCCCGCGGGGCACGGGUUGGGGGCGCUACCUGGGACAUCAGUGCCCAUGGUGGGGAACUUGUUGGGUGUGUUAUCCGAGGCAUCACUCCCCAUGGCUGGGGGCUGGUUGGGGGCGUUAUCCAUGGGCUGCACUAACCACAGCCAGGAGCGUGUAUGGGGCAUUAUCGGGGGCGGACUGCCAGUGGCUGGGUGGGGAGGCGGGUUGGAUGCUAUGUGGGGUUGCACUGCCCGGCAGGGAGUGAGUUCGGUGCGCUAUCCGGGGUUGCACUGCAGGCGGUGGGCGGCAGAUUGGGUGCCCUAUCGCUACACUGCCGUGGCGAGUACCGGCUUGGCGGCGCUAUCCUGGGCUACACCGCCCGUGGCGGGGGGCGUUUUAGUUGCGCUAUCUGGUGCUGCACUGCCCGCGCAGGAGUUGGGUUGGGUGACCUACUCCAGGCGUCACUGCCCGAGGCUGGGGGCUAAUUUGGGGCGCUAUCCCGGGAGUCAUUUCCUGUGGCGGGGGGCUGGUUGAGGGCGGUAUCCAUGGCUGCACCGCCCACAGCACAGAGCGGCUUUGGGGAGUUAUCCCGGGCCGCGCUGCCCGUGGCAGGGGGCAGGCUGCCAGCGCCAUUGGGUGCUGCAUGUACUAGGCACGGACGAGUUAGGGGCGCCAUCUGGGACUGCACUGCCGGUGGCGGGCGGUGGAGGUGUCAGUGACAGCGGUCUCCAAGAGAGGAGCUGUCCUCCUCUUCCUGGCCACCUCCUUCUGUUCUUUGCCCAAGUGCGGCGGGCGCACAGCGUUUCCUGAGCGUGGCAGGGGCCCCAGCCCCGUGGUGCUUCCUGGACCCGCCUCCUCUUACUCUGUGUUGCAGAAACCGCCUGGGACCCCCGGGCACGCAGUAGUGGACAUCACGAGGCUACAGGGCCCUGUGGGUGAAGGAGGCAUCAGGAAAGGGAACUGGCACUUGGGUGGGGAGGGCUGGCUGGGGUUGAGUUUCUGCUGCUCCUGCUUCCCGAGGAGCGCAGCCAGGCUGGGUGCAGCGGUUCCUGUGGAGUGGGAAGCCCGGGCACUGUGGUGUCUGCAGUCCCCACUCCAGGCCCCAGUUCCUGGCCAGCUUGCGCUAAAAGGAGAGGCUGGACUUUGAAGUGUGGGUGUGAGUACCUUCACUGAAAGCGGCCCCUGCCACCCAGUGGCCAGCAUGACAAGUGGCGCUCUAAUGUUACCACUCUGCAUCCUGUUCUAGGCUUUUCUGGCUUUGUCUGCCCAGGUGCCCAGUGCCCUGAGAAGGAGGAGCCACAUGCCACAUGUUGGAGGCUACAGCCUGUGGUACCAUGAUUUGCCUCCGAUGGAGUUGGCUGAAUUAGGCUUCCCAGAGACUGUGGUGUCCCAAUCUGUAAACUGCUAAUUUCUUUGGGCAUUGUCCCCAUAAACUUUUUGAAAUCAUGAAUGAUUUCACCAUUCUUCCACCCAAGCUUUACUAUCAAUUUGACGUUUGUCCUUGCUUCCAUUCUAGUUGGAUUCGUGUUGCUUUGAUAGGAGCUCUUUUCAAACUGAUGUCUUAUCUUUCUUUUUUUUUUUAAUUUUUUUUUAUUUUUGAGAUGGAGUUUCACUCUUGUUGCCCAGGCUGGAGUGUGGUGGUGCAAUCUCGGCUCACUGCAACCUCCACCUCCUGGGUUCAAGUGAUUCUCCGGCCUCAGCCUGCCAAGUAGUUGGGAUUACAGGCUCCUGCCACCAUGCCUGGCUAAUUUUUUGUAUUUUUAGUAGAGACAGGGCUUCAUCAUGUUGGCCAGGCUGCUCUCGACCUCCCAACCUCAGCUGAUCCACCUACCUCAGCCUCCCAAAGUGCUGAGAUUCCAGGCGUGAGCCACCAUACCCGGCCAUCUUAUCUUUCCUAGUGCCUCAAACUAGAUCCUGUUCAGACAUGUUAUAACAGGUCUAUGGCAUCAUAAUUCAGCUAACCUCAGAGACUCUGUUAGCUAUGUAGAAGAUCAAAUUCUCCCCAAGCAGCAGAUCAUACUAAGGGAGGUGGCAGAGCACCUAGGUUUUGAAAUGGAAUGGAACAGCGUUGGAAUUCCAACUCUAUCACUCAUGAGCUGUGUGAUCUUGGUGAAUUUAUUUGACCUCAUAAAACUUUAGUUUACUUAUAUCUAAAAUAGGAUAACAAUGUUAUACAGUAUUAGUUCCCUAUUGCUGCUGUAACAAAUGACCACAACUUGGUGGCUUAAAACAAUACAAACUUAUUACCUUUUAGUUUUGGAGGCCAGAAGUCCAAAAUCAAUCUUAGUUAUUAAAGUCAGGAGAGUUGCAUUUCCUUCUGGAGGCUCUAGGGAUAAUUCAUUUUUGGCCUUUUCCAGCUUUUAGAGGCUGCCCACAUUCCUUGGCUUUUGGCCUCUUUUAUCUUCAAAGUCGGCAAGGCCCACCUAGUUUUUCUCACAUUGCGUCACUCUCACAUACUAUUUUUCUCCCCUCUCUUCCACUUAUAAGAGCCCUUGUGAUUACAUUGGGUGUUGCUCAACAGCACUAAUCAUUAUGAAAAUGUAAAUCAAAACCACAAUGAUGUGUUUCCUCACACCCAUUAGGGUGGUUACUGUUUAAAACAAUGAAAAUAACAAGUAUUGGCAAAGAGUGGAGGAAUUAGAACCCUUGUGCACUGUUUGUGGGAAUGUAAAGUGGUGCAGCCACUAUGGAAAACAGAAUAGUAAUUUCUUAAAAUUUUUAAAAUAGAAUUAUCAUAUGAUCUGGCAAUUCUACUUCUCGGUAUAUAUCCAAAAGAAUUGAAAGCACAGUUUGUUUUGUUUUGUUUGUUUGUUUGUUUGUUUUUGAGACAGGAUCUCACUCUAUUGCCUAGACUGGAGUGCAGUGGUGCGAUCUUCGCUCACUGCAACCUCCACCUCCCAGGCUCAAGUGAUUCUCCUUCCUCAGCCUCUCAAGUAGCUGGGAUACACAGGUGUGCACCACUACCACCCGGCUAAUUUUUGUGUUGUUAGUAGAGAUGGGGUUUUACCAUGUUGGGCAGGCUAGUCUCAAACUCAUGACCUCAAGUAAUCCACCCGCCUUGGCCUCCCAAAGUGCUGGGAUUACAGGUGUCAGCCACUGCGCCCAGCCUGGGUCUUAAAGAGAUAUUUGUACACCCAUGUUAAUAGCAGUAUUAUUUACAAUAGUUGGAAAGGCAGAAGCAAUCUAAAUGUUUACUGAUUAAUGGAUAAACAGAAUGCGGUAUACAGUGUACAUAUAAUGAAAUAACCUUCUGUACUAAAAGGAAAUUCCGACACACACUACAGUAUGGAUGGGUGUCGAGAACACUAUACUAAGUGAAAUAAGCCAGUCACAAAAGGAUAAAUACCAUAUGAUAGCACUUAUAAGAAGUGUCUGUAGAAACAGCAAGAAGAAGGAUGGGUACCAGGGACUAAAACAGGGAGUAGUUGUUCAAUGGGUGUAGGGUUUCAGUUUUGCAAGAUGAAAAUGUUCUGGAGAACUGUUGCACAACACGUGAAUAUACUUAGUACUACUAAACUGUACGUUUACAAAUGGUUAAGAUGGUAAGUUUUUAUGUGUAUUUUAUCACAAUUAAAAAUUUUUUAUGUUGUUGGUUCCCUACUUCCUCCAACUUCAGAAAUCUUUUCCCAGCAUUUUUCACAGGUGGUUACUCGAUUUUUCUCGAAAGCAUCCAAUGAUGACUAACUGCAGAUGGACUAAAUGCCAUUGUUAGACAGUAACAUUCAAUUUUUUAAAAAAGUAUUUCUAUUUGGAGUUUAAAUCCCCUGCUCUGUAGGUAAUGAGAUACAGACUUGUUGACUGAAGUAAUAUAGAAUAAGUCGACUCCUUCUUCUACAUGACAGACUUUCAAGGCUUUGAAGAAAUUUAGGUCUUUCCUAAGCUAAAUGCACAGGACAUAGUUCCCAAACCAUUUGAGUGUUGUUCUGGGCACCUACUCCUUGCAGACUAUGAGAUUUUUAACGUCUCAAACACGCUGAAUCUCAAUUUUAUUCAUUCAUUCGUUUAAACAAUCUUUAUUAAGCACUGUUAUUUUAACCAAGCAUUGUCUAAGGUACUAGGGAAAUAACAUGGAAAAAAACAGACAUAGUUGCCACCUGCAUAAAGCAUGGAAUCCAAUGGGAGUAAUAAUAACGAAACAAGCAUAACACGAAACUGAGACAGGUGCCCUGAGGUGGAAGUUACAGAAUUAAACAGAGGCAUGGAACAGAGUUAUCUAAUGUAGAAAGUAAAAAGUUUCUCUUCAAAGCUUCCCUUCUUAUUAAAGAAUAAAUCGUAAGUGUUAGAAAUAACAGUUUCUUUUUAUUUAUAUUUAUUUUUUUAUUUUUUUGAGAUGGAGUCUUGCUCUGUCACCCAGGCUGGAGUGCAGUGGCGCAAUCUUGGCUCACUGCAAGCUCUGCCUCCUGGGUUCACGCCAUUCUCCCGCCUCAGCCUCCCGAGUAGCUGGGACUACAGGCGCCUGCCACCACGCCCGGCUAAUUUUUUGUAUUUUUAGUAGAGACGGGGUUUCACUGUGUUAGCCAGGAUUGUCUCGAACUCCUGACCUCCUGAUCCACCCGCCUCAGCCUCCCAAAGUGCUGGGAUUACAGGUUUGAGCCACUGUGCCCAGCAGAAAUAAUAGUUUCUUUUAAAGACUAACUUCCUUCAAGCCUCCUUCCUUUGUGCUAGUAACUCUUUGUUAAGCCCUAUCCUAUGUAGCUGUUAAAUAUGUUCACAGGCACGUUCCAGCUUGCAGCCUAUGCCCCUUCCCUGUUUGGCAUAAGCAACUUCCUCUUUUCCUUUGUCUUUCCAUUACUUUUACAUAUUUAGAAAAGUUUUAAACUGUUAGCCAAUCGGGUUUUAGUUUAAAUUGUGAGGUCUGGCUCCAGCCAAUGGAGACAGGACACAGCAGCAAGGACAAACUGAAUAAGGAAUAAAAAUUGCUUCCCUCCCUUGUUCAGGUGUGCUCUCGCCAUUGUUCCAUCUGCGAUGAGCACCCUUUCUGCAGAAAGUAAAAAUGGCCUUGCUGAGAGAAUUAAAUUUACGUUUGAGUGCUAUUUAUUUGCAGCACUGGGGAACAAGCAUUCUGUUUCUAAAUAAACAUUUUGUAUAUAACAUCUAACUUUGGGAAUUGCGGUGGAAAGCUUUGAAGACUUGCCCUGAGAAGCGACAUCUAAAGUAAGUCCUUAAGGGUAUAGAGCAGUUAGCUAGGUGAUGAGAAUGUGAAACCAAGCUUAUGGAGUUAGCAGGAAGAUUCAAUUGGAUAAAAUGAUUUAGGUAAAUGUUAUCCUCUACUCCCAUUUAUCCCUAUGGAUUCAACUCAUUCAGAUUCUACUGUCAUUUACUGAGCUUCCUACUGUGUGCCAGGCUCUGUGCUGGCUUCUCAUAUCUAAUCUCAUUUCUGUAUGAUGACCUCAUGAAAACAACUCUUAAAGUGCCACCAUCUUUUAAAAAGUGACAAUAAGAACUACCACACUUUGGACCAAAUAAUGCAAACUGAAAUAGGAAAAAACACACAGAGGAAGAAAAUGUUUUGCUAAAACCGUAUUGUGAAAUGAUAAGCCAUUAUUAUUAUCAUUACUUUAUCACAUAUCUAUGCCUGGACAUGAUUAUUAACGUAGCCUGCAUUAAUGUAGAGUUGCAUUAAUGCUCUAGAGACUGAACUGGCACAAUUGAAUUUGUGGUGCUACAAAUAUCCUCCCUUUUGUUCUCAUAAGAACUCUGUCCAUUUGGGUCUCCUUCCAAUCUACACUUACAAAACUGAUUUUUUAGAACCUACACACACACAUUUUCAUCCGAUGCAAAUUUACUUAGUUGAUUUAGACACAUCAUUCUAGUCUGUUGGGAUAAUCUUUUUUAAUAUGUUUUUUAAAUUAUACUCUAAGUUCUGGGAUAUAUGUGCAGAAUGUGCAUGUUUGUUACAUAGGUAUACACAUGCCAUGGUGGUUUGCUGCACCCAUCAACCCGUCACCUACAUUAAGUAUUUCUCCUAAUCCUAUCCCUCCCCUAGCCCCCAACCCCCUGACAGGCCCCGGUGUGUGAUGUUCCCCUCCCUGUGUCUAUGUGAUCUCAUUGUUCAACUCCCACUUAUGAGUGAGAACAUGCAGUGUUUGGUUUUCUGUUCUUGUGUUCGUUUGCUGGGAUAAUCUGGAGUCCUGUUUUUGUCAUUCACCAUUAGAUCUUACCCAGUGGGUGUGCUAAGCUUCCCUUCUGUGAAUACAUCUGGGGUUCUGAUAAUAGAUCAUAGCCCUACUUUAGUUCCUUUGCUUCUGCUGACUCUGGGUUAAGGAAUCUGGAGCCGCUGUCAGCUUUCACCCCUCUCAAGCUCCUGAGAAGAUCUAAGCUGAAGCAAGAUUCAACUAUCUUCUCCCAUCCCUUAUCAGCAACGGGCUUUUUUUUUUUUUUUUUUUUUGAGACUGAGUUUUGCUCUUGUUGCCCAGACUGGAGUGCAAUGGUGUGAUCUCGGCUCACCACAACCUCUGCCUCCCAGGUUCAAGCGAUUCUCCUGCCUCAGCCUCCCAAAUAGCUGGGAAUACAGGCGCGCGCCACCACACCCAGCUAAUUUUGUAUUUUUAGUAGAGACAGGGUUUCUCCAUGUUGGUCAGGCUGAUCUCGAACUCCUGACCUCAGGUGAUCUGCCCGCUUCGGCCUCCCAAAGUGUUGGGAUUACAGGCAUGAGCCACGGUGCCCGGCCAGUGGCAAGGCUUAUAGUUAAGUAUUGCUCUCAGACUCUGUGAUUUGGUGGCCCAGUUAUGCCUUUAGGUCUCUCUUCUGCCUCUGACUAGGGAGCUAAGAUGACAUGCUGAUCCACUCCUGGCAUGGCACAUCCCAUUCCACGUCCUGAUCUCCUCUUCCCCUACCUCAUCAUUUCCAUCUGUGUGCCGAGAAUAUACACCCCACGUGAAAUAGUCAGUGGUUUGCAGGUGGUUUGGCAGUGUCAGAAAUAAAAGCAAGGAAAUAAUUUUGUUCAUAUAUUUGAAAUUAAUUAGAAUUAGUUAUAAUGUUUAUAGAAAUCUCAAUGUUUCUUAAAAUCAUUACAUUCUUAAAAGUUUUAUGCAUACCACAAAGACAUCCUAUAAAAUUCUACAUCAUUUAUAUAA
This is a long non-coding RNA of Symphalangus syndactylus (siamang), 7694 nucleotides long. RefSeq lists it as uncharacterized. NCBI's taxonomy places the organism in Eukaryota, Metazoa, Chordata, Mammalia, Primates, Hylobatidae. The record is from RefSeq and is a predicted model, not a curated record.